Melanotaenia boesemani (Boeseman's rainbowfish) is the source of this 98-nucleotide long non-coding RNA. RefSeq lists it as uncharacterized. The transcript has 3 exons. Lineage: Eukaryota; Metazoa; Chordata; Actinopteri; Atheriniformes; Melanotaeniidae. The record is from RefSeq and is a predicted model, not a curated record.
UAUUACCAAUCAGAGUGGGAAAAUUAGGUUGCGUUCAGGGAGGCUGGGAAGUCCGACCCUUAUCAGACGGAUCAUUACAGAUACUGUUGUGCCAUUUA